RNAcentral lists this ribosomal RNA (467 nucleotides) under uncultured bacterium. Its description in RNAcentral is "bacterial SSU rRNA". It matches the Rfam family "Bacterial small subunit ribosomal RNA", at positions 28 to 507 of the family's 1533-position model. The record is from RNAcentral.
GACGAACGCUGGCGGCGCGCCUAACACAUGCAAGUCGAACGAGCGAGAGAGAGCUUGCUUUCUCGAGCGAGUGGCGAACGGGUGAGUAACGCGUGAGGAACCUGCCUCAAAGAGGGGGACAACAGUUGGAAACGACUGCUAAUACCGCAUAAGCCCACGGUGCCGCAUGGCACAGAGGGAAAAGGAGCAAUCCGCUUUGAGAUGGCCUCGCGUCCGAUUAGCUGGUUGGUGAGGUAAUGGCCCACCAAGGCGACGAUCGGUAGCCGGACUGAGAGGUUGAACGGCCACAUUGGGACUGAGACACGGCCCAGACUCCUACGGGAGGCAGCAGUGGGGAAUAUUGCGCAAUGGGGGGAACCCUGACGCAGCAACGCCGCGUGAAGGAUGAAGGUUUUCGGAUUGUAAACUUCUUUUAUUUAGGACGAACAAUGACGGUACCUAAGGAGGAAGCCACGGCUAACUACGUG